UGCAGUCGACGAAGUAGCAAUACUUUAGUGGCGAACGGGUGAGUAACACGUAUCUAACCUACCAUUUAGUGGGGAAUAACUGUUGGAAACGACAGCUAAUACCGCAUAUGUUAUUUAUUUGCAAUGAUAAAUAAUGAAAGGAGCAUUUGUUUCGCUAAUUGAUGAGGAUGCGGCGCAUUAACUAGUUGGUAAGGUAAUGGCUUACCAAGGUAACGAUGCGUAGCCGAUCUGAGAGGAUGAACGGCCACAUUGGGACUGAGACACGGCCCAAACUUCUACGGAAGGCAGCAGUAGGGAAUUUUUCACAAUGGGCGAAAGCCUGAUGGAGCAAUGCCGCGUGACUGAUGAAGAUCUUCGGAUUGUAAAGGUCUGUUGUAAGGGAAGAAGUGCUAGAAUAGGAAAUGAUUUUAGUAUCGACCAUACCUUACCAGAAAGCCACGGCUAACUAUGUGCCAGCAGCCGCGGUAAUACAUAGGUGGCAAGCGUUAUCCGGAUUUAUUGGGCGUAAAGCGUGCGUAGACGGUUUUGCAAGUCUGAGGUUAAAUUUAGGGGCUCAACCCCUAACCGCCUUGGAAACUACAUUACUAGAGUAUAGGAGAGGUUAGUGGAAUUUCAUGUGUAGCGGUGGAAUGCGUAGAUAUAUGAAGGAACACCAGUGGCGAAGGCGGCUAACUGGCCUAUUACUGACGUUGUGGCACGAAAGCGUGGGGAGCAAAUAGGAUUAGAUACCCUAGUAGUCCACGCCGUAAACGAUGAGUACUAAGUGUUGCCAUGAGGCAGUGCUGUAGYUAACGCAUUAAGUACUCCGCCUSASUAGUAUGCUCGCAGAGUGAACU
This 836-nucleotide ribosomal RNA is filed under the name Spiroplasma symbiont of Acyrthosiphon pisum. RNAcentral describes it as "bacterial SSU rRNA". It matches the Rfam family "Bacterial small subunit ribosomal RNA", at positions 56 to 900 of the family's 1533-position model. The record is from RNAcentral. Lineage: Bacteria; Bacillati; Mycoplasmatota; Mollicutes; Entomoplasmatales; Spiroplasmataceae.